This 49-nucleotide ribosomal RNA is filed under the name Araucaria rulei. Its description in RNAcentral is "partial 5.8S ribosomal RNA". Lineage: Eukaryota; Viridiplantae; Streptophyta; Pinopsida; Araucariales; Araucariaceae. The record is from RNAcentral.
AGUUGCGCCCGAGGCUUCGGCCGAGGGCACGUCUGCCUGGGCGUCGCAC